Rhinolophus ferrumequinum (greater horseshoe bat) is the source of this 975-nucleotide long non-coding RNA. RefSeq lists it as uncharacterized. The record is from RefSeq and is a predicted model, not a curated record. The transcript has 4 exons. Lineage: Eukaryota; Metazoa; Chordata; Mammalia; Chiroptera; Rhinolophidae.
CGCCGCAGCCCGGAGCCAGAGAGCCGGCGAGCCAGCGAGCGCCGCGCAGGGCCAGCCACCUGACGCAGCCCGCUCCGCGGUGCCGACGCGACUGAGUGUCCCCGCCGAAGACCAGCGCUCCUAACCAGCCCGAUGACGCCCCAGCCUCUUCAGAGGACCGACCCACAGCGGCGGCCCCUAUAAACCGAAGGGGAAGCCGAAAAAUCAGCCCGCCGAGGACGCACCCAAAUGGGCCGCCACGCACCCUGGGGGUGUGAGCCGGUGUGGGGACGACGCGGGAGUGGCUUCCCGGUUAGCGCACGCGGGGACCGCCACCCACCCCUCCCUCCUGGCCGCGCACGCCCGUGGAGGACGUGGCAGAGAGCAUUGGGUUAAGAGCAGUGACACCAAGAAGUUGUCGACCACUGGGCCUGUUCACUUUGCCUGGGACCUUGGUUGAGUCACAUGCUGCCACGCUGGUGUCUGCUUAGGUACACUACCACCGCCAUUCCACAAGGCCUCUUUUCUUCUGGAUCUGAAUGGACAACGAGAACAAUUCAAAGUCACCAAAGAACACUUGGAAUUCAGAGCAGGAAACAAAAGCUGCAGGCCAGACCCCAGAACCUGCAGCAGCUACUCUGCCUCACUUGGGCCUCCGACUUUUCUCUGCUUCAAAGUGACUGUGCCUGCUCUCCCCCCACAUUCAAACCAAACUAAGCCGGGACUUUGUCACACUUUGGAUUUUGGCCUCUCCCACACAAAAAUACACCAUCUUUUGCAAAAAAGCUCAAAGGCACAACUUUGUUAGGUUGAUGCUUUUCACAUAAACAAAAGCAGAUAAAAAUAUCGAACCGAUUGACCUGAAUGGGCCGGGUAGCCAUGCGACAGUAGGGCUUUACAAUCAACGAUGACGUGGCUGUUAGAGGACAUCAUGUUUCACAGUCCUUCACCCACUUAGCUUAGAAACUACUUGAAGACAAGGUCCAAGUUUUAUAU